AAAACGAUGAUUUUGCCAACGUCAAGGUUGAGAUUGACACGGGAUAUAAUACGUUAUAAUGAUAUUAUGAAACACGGAUUAGUCUUGGGACAUAAGGGGGAAGCAAGUCGUAUAGAGAUGGAGAAAAUUUUGAGCAUUCAAAAAAUAUGUGAUCAGGUGUACCCUCGUCUAAGCCGCAGCAUUCACAUAGCGAGUUAUAUUCCUGUAGCUGGGCAGCUGACUGAUAGCAAAGCUGAAAUUUGACGUUGACAGAUUAAAUUGUUACUUUUCCA
Long non-coding RNA from Plodia interpunctella (Indianmeal moth), 272 nucleotides. RefSeq lists it as uncharacterized. The record is from RefSeq and is a predicted model, not a curated record. Lineage: Eukaryota; Metazoa; Arthropoda; Insecta; Lepidoptera; Pyralidae. The transcript is spliced from 2 exons.